UCUCAGGGCUGGGACGUGGGUCCAGGCAGAGAGAGAAGGGAAGGGGGCGGGCCUGUGCCGAUGUCCUCUCCCCUCCAGUCCCAGGGUCAAGUUUAUGGACAUGAUCCUCAGCCCACGCCCCUCCAAGCUCAGUGUGAAGAUUCCCUGGAGCAUGAGAGGGAGGUAGAGGUGGAUUUGACGCAGGAGAAGGCAAUGUGAUGACUACAGCAAGCUGCUACCCUGCCGGCUCUGCAGACAGAGGGAAGGGCCAGGAGCCCAGGAAGGCAAGGAAAGCACCUCUGGCAGGUGGAAAAGGCCAGGAUGCAGAUUCCCCCCCGGAGCCUCCAGAGGGAGCUCAGCUCGGCAGACGCCUUGAUUUCUGCCCGUGGAAACUUUGGACUUUGGACAUCUGACCUCCAGAAGCUUAAGGGACUAAUACGUUGUUUUCCAUUUGUUUAUUUUUCAUGUUUAAAAAGUUUUACUGAAGUA
Molecule: long non-coding RNA, 468 nt
Organism: Phacochoerus africanus (Common warthog)
Lineage: Eukaryota; Metazoa; Chordata; Mammalia; Artiodactyla; Suidae
Exons: 2
Source: RefSeq, a predicted model, not a curated record